GUUGUAUGGUUAAGUGACUAAGCGUACACGGUGGAUGCCUUGGCAGUCAGAGGCGAUGAAAGACGUAGUAACUUGCGAUAAGCCCAGAUUAGGUAGUAACAACCAUUUGAGUCUGGGAUUUCUGAAUGGGGAAACCCACGUGCAUAAGCACGUAUCCUUACCUGAAUACAUAGGGUAAGGAGGCGAACCGGGGGAACUGAAACAUCUAAGUACCCCGAGGAAAAGAAAUCAACCGAGAUUCCGAAAGUAGCGGCGAGCGAAAUUGGACUAGCCCUUAAGCUUUACACGCGUUAGACGAACGGUCUGGAAAGUCCGACGAUACAGGGUGAUAGUCCCGUAGUUGACGACGUGUGUUCAGUGAAAUCGAGUAGGGCGGGACACGUGAUAUCCUGUCUGAAUAUGGGGGGACCAUCCUCCAAGGCUAAAUACUACUGACUGACCGAUAGUGAACCAGUACCGUGAGGGAAAGGCGAAAAGAACCCCUGUGAGGGGAGUGAAAUAGAACCUGAAACCGUGUACGUACAAGCAGUAGGAGCAGGCUUUGUCCUGUGACUGCGUACCUUUUGUAUAAUGGGUCAGCGACUUAUAUUCAGUGGCAAGGUUAACCAUCUAGGGGAGCCGUAGGGAAACCGAGUCUUAACUGGGCGUUCAGUCUCUGGAUAUAGACCCGAAACCAGGUGAUCUAGCCAUGGGCAGGUUGAAGGUUGAGUAACAUCAACUGGAGGACCGAACCGACUAAUGUUGAAAAAUUAGCGGAUGACUUGUGGCUAGGGGUGAAAGGCCAAUCAAACCUGGAGAUAGCUGGUUCUCCCCGAAAGCUAUUUAGGUAGCGCCUCGGACGAAUACUACUGGGGGUAGAGCACUGUUAAGGCUAGGGGGUCAUCCCGACUUACCAACCCUUUGCAAACUCCGAAUACCAGUAAGUACUAUCCGGGAGACACACGGCGGGUGCUAACGUCCGUCGUGGAGAGGGAAACAACCCAGACCGCCAGCUAAGGUCCCAAAUUACUACUAAGUGGGAAACGAUGUGGGAAGGCUCAGACAGCCAGGAUGUUGGCUUAGAAGCAGCCAUCAUUUAAAGAAAGCGUAAUAGCUCACUGGUCGAGUCGGCCUGCGCGGAAGAUGUAACGGGGCUAAGUAGUAAACCGAAGCUGCGGCAAUGUGCUUUUGCACAUUGGGUAGGGGAGCGUUCUGUAAGCGGUUGAAGGUGUGUGGUAACGCAUGCUGGACGUAUCAGAAGUGCGAAUGCUGACAUGAGUAACGAUAAAGGGGGUGAAAAACCUCCUCGCCGGAAGACCAAGGGUUCCUGUCCAACGUUAAUCGGGGCAGGGUGAGUCGACCCCUAAGGCGAGGCCGAAAGGCGUAGUCGAUGGGAAACGGGUUAAUAUUCCCGUACUUCUUACAAUUGCGAUGGGGGGACGGAGAAGGCUAGGUGGGCCUGGCGACGGUUGUCCAGGUUCAAGUGCGUAGGCUUAAGAGUUAGGUAAAUCCGGCUCUUUUUAAGGCUGAGACACGACGUCGAGCACCUACGGGUGUGAAGUCAUUGAUGCCAUGCUUCCAGGAAAAGCCUCUAAGCUUCAGAUUGUAAGGAAUCGUACCCCAAACCGACACAGGUGGUCGGGUAGAGAAUACCAAGGCGCUUGAGAGAACUCGGGUGAAGGAACUAGGCAAAAUGGUACCGUAACUUCGGGAGAAGGUACGCUCUCGACGGUGAAGUCCCUUGCGGAUGGAGCUAUUGAGAGUCGCAGAUACCAGGUGGCUGCAACUGUUUAUUAAAAACACAGCACUGUGCAAAAUCGUAAGAUGACGUAUACGGUGUGACGCCUGCCCGGUGCCGGAAGGUUAAUUGAUGGGGUUAGACUUCGGUCGAAGCUCUUGAUCGAAGCCCCGGUAAACGGCGGCCGUAACUAUAACGGUCCUAAGGUAGCGAAAUUCCUUGUCGGGUAAGUUCCGACCUGCACGAAUGGCGUAAUGAUGGCCACGCUGUCUCCACCCGAGACUCAGUGAAAUUGAAAUCGCUGUGAAGAUGCAGUGUACCCGCGGCUAGACGGAAAGACCCCGUGAACCUUUACUACAGCUUGGCACUGAACAUUGACCCUACAUGUGUAGGAUAGGUGGGAGGCUUUGAAGCACGUACGCCAGUAUGUGUGGAGCCGUCCUUGAAAUACCACCCUUGUAGUGUUGAUGUUCUAACGUCGACCCCUAAUCGGGGUUGCGGACAGUGCCUGGUGGGUAGUUUGACUGGGGCGGUCUCCUCCCAAAGAGUAACGGAGGAGCACGAAGGUGGGCUAAUCACGGUUGGACAUCGUGAGGUUAGUGCAAUGGCAUAAGCCCGCUUGACUGCGAGAAUGACAAUUCGAGCAGGUGCGAAAGCAGGUCAUAGUGAUCCGGUGGUUCUGAAUGGAAGGGCCAUCGCUCAACGGAUAAAAGGUACUCCGGGGAUAACAGGCUGAUACCGCCCAAGAGUUCAUAUCGACGGCGGUGUUUGGCACCUCGAUGUCGGCUCAUCACAUCCUGGGGCUGAAGUCGGUCCCAAGGGUAUGGCUGUUCGCCAUUUAAAGUGGUACGCGAGCUGGGUUUAGAACGUCGUGAGACAGUUCGGUCCCUAUCUGCCGUGGGCGUUGGAAGAUUGAAGGGGGCUGCUCCUAGUACGAGAGGACCGGAGUGGACGAACCUCUGGUGUUCGGGUUGUGUCGCCAGACGCAUUGCCCGGUAGCUAAGUUCGGAAUCGAUAACCGCUGAAAGCAUCUAAGCGGGAAGCGAGCCCUGAGAUGAGUCUUCCCUGAUACUUUAAGUAUCCUAAAGGGUUGUCGGAGACUACGACGUUGAUAGGUCAGGUGUGUAAGUGCUGUGAGGCAUUGAGCUAACUGAUACUAAUUGCCCGUGAGGCUUAACCAUACAACACCCAAGGGGUUU
RNAcentral lists this ribosomal RNA (2916 nucleotides) under Vibrio parahaemolyticus. RNAcentral describes it as "bacterial LSU rRNA". It matches the Rfam family "Bacterial large subunit ribosomal RNA". Lineage: Bacteria; Pseudomonadati; Pseudomonadota; Gammaproteobacteria; Vibrionales; Vibrionaceae. The record is from RNAcentral.